Molecule: long non-coding RNA, 586 nt
Organism: Helianthus annuus (common sunflower)
Lineage: Eukaryota; Viridiplantae; Streptophyta; Magnoliopsida; Asterales; Asteraceae
Exons: 3
Source: RefSeq, a predicted model, not a curated record
UGGCAACCCUUUUAAACUCAAAUUGCCGCCCAAACCACACGCAUACAACCUUACACCUUCCUUUUUCAUCCUUCCCGAUUCUCGGAAUUCAACACCCUUUACCGUUUCCAUCCUUUCAACAAAUCAUGAACCUUGUCAUCGUUCUACUACCACACACAGCCUAGCACCCCCUGUUGCUCGACUUAAUGGCCGGCCACCACCACUGUCUGGUGGCGGCGGCGAUGGCACCAUGAGGCAGAAAGAGGAGAGAAGAAAGCAGUCGAGAGAAAGAAAGAGGCGGGCCGGCGUCGAUUACGGGAGAGCCGCGGCGGCGGCAGACGGCAGCGCCGCCGUCUGCAGCGGUGGUGGGGUGUAGUUCGUUGCCCGACGUGUUUCACCGGAAUGAUGAUGGUAGUGGCGACUGCGGCUGCGUCGCCGCCGUCUGCGGUGGUGAGCAACAAGGAUCGUGCCGUCUCGUGUUCGGAUAAUCGCUCUUGUUUAUUCUCUUGGAUUGUUCCAAUCUUACUCGUGCGUACUUCCAAGAAAUCUUCAUACGCAACCAAAGUUGAUGAGGAUGAUGCUAAGAAAAGAAGUAGCGUUGAUGCCU